GCCUGAUUGGCUCAGUCAGUUAAGCGUCCGACUUUGACUCGGGUCAUGAUCUCAUGGUUUGUGGGUUUGAGCCCCAUGUUGGGCU
This is a transfer RNA of Felis catus (domestic cat), 85 nucleotides long. It matches the Rfam family "tRNA". Rfam says of the family: Transfer RNA (tRNA) molecules are approximately 80 nucleotides in length. Their secondary structure includes four short double-helical elements and three loops (D, anti-codon, and T loops). Further hydrogen bonds mediate the characteristic L-shaped molecular structure. tRNAs have two regions of fundamental functional importance: the anti-codon, which is responsible for specific mRNA codon recognition, and the 3' end, to which the tRNAs corresponding amino acid is attached (by aminoacyl-tRNA synthetases). tRNAs cope with the degeneracy of the genetic code in two manners: having more than one tRNA (with a specific anti-codon) for a particular amino acid; and 'wobble' base-pairing, i.e. permitting non-standard base-pairing at the 3rd anti-codon position. Lineage: Eukaryota; Metazoa; Chordata; Mammalia; Carnivora; Felidae. The record is from Rfam.